AAGUCGAGCGAACGGACGAGAAGCUUGCUUCUCUGAUGUUAGCGGCGGACGGGUGAGUAACACGUGGAUAACCUACCUAUAAGACUGGGAUAACUUCGGGAAACCGGAGCUAAUACCGGAUAAUAUUUUGAACCGCAUGGUUCAAAAGUGAAAGACGGUCUUGCUGUCACUUAUAGAUGGAUCCGCGCUGCAUUAGCUAGUUGGUAAGGUAACGGCUUACCAAGGCAACGAUGCAUAGCCGACCUGAGAGGGUGAUCGGCCACACUGGAACUGAGACACGGUCCAGACUCCUACGGGAGGCAGCAGUAGGGAAUCUUCCGCAAUGGGCGAAAGCCUGACGGAGCAACGCCGCGUGAGUGAUGAAGGUCUUCGGAUCGUAAAACUCUGUUAUUAGGGAAGAACAUAUGUGUAAGUAACUGUGCACAUCUUGACGGUACCUAAUCAGAAAGCCACGGCUAACUACGUGCCAGCAGCCGCGGUAAUACGUAGGUGGCAAGCGUUAUCCGGAAUUAUUGGGCGUAAAGCGCGCGUAGGCGGUUUUUUAAGUCUGAUGUGAAAGCCCACGGCUCAACCGUGGAGGGUCAUUGGAAACUGGAAAACUUGAGUGCAGAAGAGGAAAGUGGAAUUCCAUGUGUAGCGGUGAAAUGCGCAGAGAUAUGGAGGAACACCAGUGGCGAAGGCGACUUUCUGGUCUGUAAC
Molecule: ribosomal RNA, 699 nt
Filed under: uncultured Staphylococcus sp.
Lineage: Bacteria; Bacillati; Bacillota; Bacilli; Caryophanales; Staphylococcaceae
Description: bacterial SSU rRNA
Rfam family: Bacterial small subunit ribosomal RNA
Source: RNAcentral